CCCUUAGAUGUUCUGGGCCGCACGCGCGCUACACUGACGAAUGCAACGAGCUUAUAACCUUGGCCGAAAGGUCUGGGUAAUCUCCAAAUUUCGUCGUGAUGGGGAUAGAUUAUUGCAAUUAUUAAUCUUCAACGAGGAAUGCCUAAUAAGCGCAAGUCAUCAGCUUGCGUUGAUUACGUCCCUGCCCUUUGUACACACCGCCCGUCGCUCCUACCGAUUGAAUGGUCCGGUGAAGCGCUCGGACCGCGGCCUCUUGACGGUUCGCUGUCGAUUGGCUGUGGGAAGUUCGUUAAACCUUAUCAUUUAGAGGAAGGAGAAGUCGUAACA
Molecule: ribosomal RNA, 327 nt
Filed under: uncultured eukaryote
Lineage: Eukaryota
Description: partial 18S ribosomal RNA
Rfam family: Eukaryotic small subunit ribosomal RNA
Source: RNAcentral